GCCAGGUGUGGUGACCCAUGCCUGUAAUCCCAGCAGCUAGGGAGGCUUAGAUAGGAGGAUUGCAAGUUCAAGGCCAGCCUCAGAAACAGCAAGGCACUAAGCAACUCGGUGAGUCCCUGUCUCUA
Molecule: small RNA, 125 nt
Filed under: Marmota monax (woodchuck)
Lineage: Eukaryota; Metazoa; Chordata; Mammalia; Rodentia; Sciuridae
Source: RNAcentral